This 30-nucleotide non-coding RNA is filed under the name Rattus norvegicus (Norway rat). The record is from RNAcentral. Lineage: Eukaryota; Metazoa; Chordata; Mammalia; Rodentia; Muridae.
UACUGUAUUUCACUUAUGUUGAGGUCUCUG